Molecule: non-coding RNA, 72 nt
Organism: Megalopta genalis
Lineage: Eukaryota; Metazoa; Arthropoda; Insecta; Hymenoptera; Halictidae
Source: the annotation of a RefSeq genome assembly
UCCUCGAUAGUAUAGUGGUCAGUAUCUCCGCCUGUCACGCGGAAGACCGGGGUUCGAUUCCCCGUCGGGGAG